This 375-nucleotide long non-coding RNA is filed under the name Callithrix jacchus (white-tufted-ear marmoset). RNAcentral's name for it is "lncRNA (ENSCJAG00000083685.1)". Lineage: Eukaryota; Metazoa; Chordata; Mammalia; Primates; Cebidae. The record is from RNAcentral.
ACCUAAUAAAUCUCAAUCAAUGUUAUGUGAAUGAAUGAACAAAUGUCCAAGUGACUCUUAGGAGAAACUCAAUCACUGUUGUACAGAUGAUUCCCCACUUACUGGAGGUUUGACUUACAAUGUUUGACUUUACAGUGGGCGACACCACCGUUGUAAACCUAGGAGUGCACUGAACUUUUGAUGGAUUUAUCUGGAUGUAACCCCAUGCAUUGAUCCCACAUUCCACUGAACUGUUUCAUUGGAUGCUCAAAUGAAGAGGAAGCCAAGAAUAAACUUAAUCUCCUGGUAAGUUUCAGGCAUUUGACAAUUAUGUAGGCAUUGAUUAUUAGCAUUAGCCAGGAGUAUAGAAACACUUAAUAAAUAUUGCAUGCAGAA